RNAcentral lists this ribosomal RNA (490 nucleotides) under uncultured bacterium. RNAcentral describes it as "partial 16S ribosomal RNA". It matches the Rfam family "Bacterial small subunit ribosomal RNA", at positions 30 to 507 of the family's 1533-position model. The record is from RNAcentral.
AUUGAACGCUGGCGGCAUGCCUUACACAUGCAAGUCGAACGGCAGCAUGAUCUAGCUUGCUAGAUUGAUGGCGAGUGGCGAACGGGUGAGUAAUACAUCGGAACGUGCCCUGUAGUGGGGGAUAACUAGUCGAAAGAUUAGCUAAUACCGCAUACGACCUGAGGGUGAAAGUGGGGGACCGCAAGGCCUCAUGCUAUAGGAGCGGCCGAUGUCUGAUUAGCCAGUUGGUGAGGUAAAGGCUCACCAAGGCGACGAUCAGUAGCUGGUCUGAGAGGACGAUCAGCCACACUGGGACUGAGACACGGCCCAGACUCCUACGGGAGGCAGCAGUGGGGAAUUUUGGACAAUGGGCGAAAGCCUGAUCCAGCAAUGCCGCGUGUGUGAAGAAGGCCUUCGGGUUGUAAAGCACUUUUGUCCGGAAAGAAAUGGCUCUGGUUAAUACCUGGGGUCGAUGACGGUACCGGAAGAAUAAGGACCGGCUAACUACGUG